UCCUAAACAAAUCAUAAGCCUCA
Molecule: non-coding RNA, 23 nt
Filed under: Arabidopsis thaliana (thale cress)
Lineage: Eukaryota; Viridiplantae; Streptophyta; Magnoliopsida; Brassicales; Brassicaceae
Source: RNAcentral